UUAUGGAGAGUUUGAUCCUGGCUCAGGACGAACGCUGGCGGCGUGCCUAAUACAUGCAAGUCGAGCGGACAAUUGAGAGCUUGCUCUCAAUUGUUAGCGGCGGACGGGUGAGUAACACGUGGGCAACCUGCCCUGUAGACUGGGAUAACUUCGGGAAACCGAAGCUAAUACCGGAUAAUCUUUUGGACCACAUGGUCCGACAGUAAAAGUUGGGUUUUACCUAACACUACAGGAUGGGCCCGCGGCGCAUUAGCUAGUUGGUAAGGUAACGGCUUACCAAGGCGACGAUGCGUAGCCGACCUGAGAGGGUGAUCGGCCACACUGGGACUGAGACACGGCCCAGACUCCUACGGGAGGCAGCAGUAGGGAAUCUUCCGCAAUGGACGAAAGUCUGACGGAGCAACGCCGCGUGAACGAUGAAGGCCUUCGGGUCGUAAAGUUCUGUUGUUAGGGAAGAACAAGUACCGUUCGAAUAGGGCGGUACCUUGACGGUACCUAACGAGAAAGCCACGGCUAACUACGUGCCAGCAGCCGCGGUAAUACGUAGGUGGCAAGCGUUGUCCGGAAUUAUUGGGCGUAAAGCGCGCGCAGGCGGUCUCUUAAGUCUGAUGUGAAAGCCCACGGCUCAACCGUGGAGGGUCAUUGGAAACUGGGAAACUUGAGUGCAGAAGAGGAGAGUGGAAUUCCAUGUGUAGCGGUGAAAUGCGUAGAUAUAUGGAGGAACACCAGUGGCGAAGGCGACUCUCUGGUCUGUAACUGACGCUGAGGCGCGAAAGCGUGGGG
The sequence is a ribosomal RNA, 783 nucleotides long. It matches the Rfam family "Bacterial small subunit ribosomal RNA", at positions 1 to 766 of the family's 1533-position model.